AGAGUAGAGUGGCGCACGGGUGAGUAACGCGUAAGUUAUCUACCCUCCCAUCUGGAAUAACUCACCGAAAGGUGUGCUAAUACCGGAUACGUUGGAAACAAGAAAGGUGGCCUCUAUUUAUACGCUACCGUGGGGGGAUGAGCUUGCGUACCAUUAGCUAGUUGGUAGGGUAAUGGCCUACCAAGGCAACGAUGGUUAGCGGGUCUGAGAGGAUGAUCCGCCACACUGGAACUGGAACACGGACCAGACUCCUACGGGAGGCAGCAGUGAGGAAUAUUGCGCAAUGGGGGAAACCCUGACGCAGCGACGCCGCGUGGAUGAUGAAGGCCUUUGGGUCGUAAAAUCCUGUCAGAUGGAAAGAAAUGCUAUUGGUUUAAUAUGCCUUUAGUUUGACGGUACCAUCAAAGGAAGCACCGGCUAACUCCGUGCCAGCAGCCGCGGUAAUACGGAGGGUGCAAGCGUUGUUCGGAAUUACUGGGCGUAAAGCGCGCGUAGGUGGUCAUAUAAGUCAGAUGUGAAAGUCCACGGCUCAACCGUGGAAGUGCAUUUGAAACUGUAUGACUUGAGUAUUGGAGGGGGUAGUGGAAUUCCCGGUGUAGAGGUGAAAUUCGUAGAUAUCGGGAGGAAUACCGGUGGCGAAGGCGACUACCUGGCCAAAUACUGACACUGAGGUGCGAAAGCGUGGGGAGCAAACAGGAUUAGAUACCCUGGUAGUCCACGCCGUAAACGAUGUCAACUAGGUGUUGGGAAGGUUAAUCUUCUCAUUGCCGCAGCUAACGCAUUAAGUUGACCGCCUGGGGAGUACGGUCGCAAGAUU
Molecule: ribosomal RNA, 817 nt
Filed under: delta proteobacterium FM1B-C6
Lineage: Bacteria; Deltaproteobacteria
Description: bacterial SSU rRNA
Rfam family: Bacterial small subunit ribosomal RNA
Source: RNAcentral